Molecule: ribosomal RNA, 235 nt
Filed under: uncultured bacterium
Lineage: Bacteria
Description: partial 16S ribosomal RNA
Rfam family: Bacterial small subunit ribosomal RNA
Source: RNAcentral
UGGGCAACCUGCCCUCAGCUCUGGGAUAACUCCAAGAAAUUGGGGCUAAUACCGGAUAUGACUGCUGACCGCAUGGUCUGGUGGUGGAAAAGAUUUAUCGGCUGGGGAUGGGCCCGCGGCCUAUCAGCUUGUUGGGUGGGGUAGUGGCCUACCAAGGCGACGACGGGUAGCCGGCCUGAGAGGGUGACCGGCCACACGUGGGACUGAGACACCGGCCCAGACCUCCGUACGGGAG